GUUUUAGCUCAGUUGGUAGAGCACUUCCUUGGUAAGGAAGAGGUCGCUGGUUCAAAUCCAGUAA
Molecule: transfer RNA, 64 nt
Filed under: uncultured Ruminococcus sp.
Lineage: Bacteria; Bacillati; Bacillota; Clostridia; Eubacteriales; Oscillospiraceae
Rfam family: tRNA
About the family: Transfer RNA (tRNA) molecules are approximately 80 nucleotides in length.
Source: RNAcentral